Molecule: ribosomal RNA, 373 nt
Filed under: uncultured bacterium
Lineage: Bacteria
Description: bacterial SSU rRNA
Rfam family: Bacterial small subunit ribosomal RNA
Source: RNAcentral
GAACCGUCCAAACGUUAUUCGGAAUCACUGGGCUUAAAGGGUACGUAGGCGGCGCUGUCAGUCGGGUGUGAAAGCCCACGGCUCAACCGUGGAAUUGCGCCCGAUACUGCAGUGCUUGAGGGAGACAGAGGUAAGCGGAACUGAUGGUGGAGCGGUGAAAUGCGUUGAUAUCAUCAGGAACACCGGUGGCGAAAGCGGCUUACUGGGUCUCUUCUGACGCUGAGGUACGAAAGCUAGGGGAGCGAAGGGGAUUAGAUACCCCCGUAGUCCUAGCUGUAAACGUUGAGCACUUGAUCGAGGGCCCCCCCAUAGGCUCCCGGUCGUAGCGAAAGUGUUAAGUGCUCCGCCUGGGGAGUAUGGUCGCAAGGCUGAA